This 460-nucleotide ribosomal RNA is filed under the name uncultured bacterium. RNAcentral describes it as "partial 16S ribosomal RNA". It matches the Rfam family "Bacterial small subunit ribosomal RNA", at positions 338 to 795 of the family's 1533-position model. The record is from RNAcentral.
CCUACGGGAGGCAGCAGUGAGGAAUAUUGGUCAAUGGCCGUAAGGCUGAACCAGCCAAGUAGCGUGAGGGAAGACUGCCCUAUGGGUUGUAAACCUCUUUUAUGCGGGGAUAAAGGUGUCCAUGUGUGGAUGUUUGCAGGUACCGCAUGAAUAAGGACCGGCUAAUUCCGUGCCAGCAGCCGCGGUAAUACGUAAGGUCCGGGCGUUAUCCGGAUUUAUUGGGUUUAAAGGGAGCGUAGGCCGGUCUUUAAGCGUGCCGUGAAAUUUUGUGGCUCAACCAUGAGAGUGCGGCGCGAACUGGAGGCCUUGAGUGCGCGGAAGGCAGGCGGAAUUCGUGGUGUAGCGGUGAAAUGCUUAGAUAUCACGAAGAACCCCGAUUGCGAAGGCAGCCUGCCGCAGCGUUACUGACGCUGAAGCUCGAAAGCGCGGGUAUCGAACAGGAUUAGAUACCCCAGUAGUC